RNAcentral lists this ribosomal RNA (314 nucleotides) under uncultured fungus. RNAcentral's name for it is "eukaryotic LSU rRNA". The stretch from base 1 to 113 matches the Rfam family "5.8S ribosomal RNA", at positions 42 to 154 of the family's 154-position model. Lineage: Eukaryota; Fungi. The record is from RNAcentral.
AACGCAGCGAAGGGCGAUAAGUAAUGUGAAUUGCAGAAUUCAGUGAAUCAUCGAAUCUUUGAACGCACAUUGCGCCUAGCAGUAUUCUGCUAGGCAUGCCUGUCCGAGCGUCAUUUCACCACUCAAGCUUCGCUUGGUGUUGGAGGUCCCGCUGUCACAAGCGGGCCGCCGAAAUGCAUCGGCUGUAGUUCAAGCAGCUUCCCUGCGUAGUAAAACUUUGUGUUACGCUUCGAAACUCCUGUACGACAUGCCGUAAAACAACCCACUUUUGAAAGGUUGACCUCGGAUCAGGUAGGAAUACCCGCUGAACUUAA